This 842-nucleotide ribosomal RNA is filed under the name uncultured Gammaproteobacteria bacterium. RNAcentral's name for it is "bacterial SSU rRNA". It matches the Rfam family "Bacterial small subunit ribosomal RNA", at positions 35 to 873 of the family's 1533-position model. The record is from RNAcentral. Lineage: Bacteria; Pseudomonadati; Pseudomonadota; Gammaproteobacteria.
GCUGGCGGUAGGCUUAACACAUGCAAGUCGUGCGAGAAAGUAUCUUCGGAUAUGAGUAGAGCGGCGGACGGGUGAGUAACGCGUAGGAAUCUACCUAGUAGAAGGGGAUAGCCCGGGGAAACUCGGAUUAAUACCGUAUACCUCCUUAGGGAGAAAGAGGGCCUCUCUUGAUGCUCUCGCUAUUAGAUGAGCCUGCGUAAGAUUAGCUUGUUGGUGAGGUAAUGGCUCACCAAGGCUACGAUCUUUAGCUGGUCUGAGAGGACGAUCAGCCACAUUGGGACUGAGACACGGCCCAGACUCCUACGGGAGGCAGCAGUGGGGAAUAUUGGACAAUGGGCGCAAGCCUGAUCCAGCCAUACCGCGUGUGUGAAGAAGGCUCUAGGGUUGUAAAGCACUUUAAGCAGGGAGAAAAAGUUAUAAGUUAAUACCUUAUAACCGUGAUGUUACCUGCAGAAUAAGCACCGGCUAAUUCCGUGCCAGCAGCCGCGGUAAUACGGAAGGUGCAAGCGUUAAUCGGAAUUACUGGGCGUAAAGCGCGCGUAGGUGGUUUGUUAAGUUGGAUGUGAAAGCCCUGGGCUCAACCUAGGAACUGCAUCCAAAACUAACUCACUAGAGUACGAUAGAGGGAGGUAGAAUUCAUAGUGUAGCGGUGGAAUGCGUAGAUAUUAUGAAGAAUACCAGUGGCGAAGGCGGCCUCCUGGAUCUGUACUGACACUGAGGUGCGAAAGCGUGGGUAGCGAACAGGAUUAGAUACCCUGGUAGUCCACGCCGUAAACGAUGACAACUAGCUGUUGGGAGACAAUGUCUUUCAGUGGCGCAGCUAACGUUUUAAGUUGUCCGCC